CUCCUUCCAGCAUAUUGUCACCCUACUUAGCUCAUAAAACUAAAUCAGUAUUUUUAUUAGCAAAGAGGAGAUAAUAGAUAUUGCGCAGACAAUGAAAAUAUGUCACUCUGACUAUUCAAAGUAUUUUCUGAAGGUUAAACUUGGCAGCUGGCAAGAGAGAAUUGGUUUUGCAGGGGACCCUGAAUGAAUACAUGAAUUCUGGGCAAUUAUUGUUCAUGAGUAGCAGGUUUUUUAUUAACCUUCAAUAUGUGUUUUUUUAAAAAGCUUAAAUUUACCCUCAAAAUAUAUUGGAAUUUCCUUAGCUUAUAACAACAUAAUCAUUUAGAGAUCUAUUAUAGAUUGCUUAUUAUAAUUUAGAUAAAACAUUAAGUUGGAAAAGAGUAUUACUCGUUCUCAUAGAUAUCUCCAAUGAAGUUCUAUAUGUUAAUGAUGAUUAUAAAGGACAACUUAUUAAGUUAGUAAAAUCUGCAUACCUUUGCUUUUGGUUGGAUUAAAUGCUUUCGGUUGUAAUGGCUCUUAUUAGCAGAAGUUCCUUAGCAUCUGUGGUUUAGAUUAAGUAGCAGUAAAGCCUGAUGUAUAAAUAG
RNAcentral lists this long non-coding RNA (584 nucleotides) under Bos taurus (domestic cattle). Its description in RNAcentral is "long non-coding RNA NONBTAT023833". The record is from RNAcentral. Lineage: Eukaryota; Metazoa; Chordata; Mammalia; Artiodactyla; Bovidae.